Molecule: ribosomal RNA, 432 nt
Filed under: uncultured bacterium
Lineage: Bacteria
Description: bacterial SSU rRNA
Rfam family: Bacterial small subunit ribosomal RNA
Source: RNAcentral
AGCGAACGUUUGCGGCGGGCUUAACACAUGCAAGUCGAACGAGAAUCCCUUCGGGGAGGAAAGUGGCGCACGGGUGCGUAACACGUGGAUAACCAACCCAUUGGUUUGGGACAACACCGGGAAACUGGUGCUAAUACCAGAUGUGUCGCAGCUGUCUUCAGGCGGUUGCGAGAAAGGCCCGCAAGGGUCGCCAACGGACGGGUCCGCGUCCCAUCAGCUAGUUGGUGAGGUAAUGGCUCACCAAGGCAAAGACGGGUAGCUGGUCUGAGAGGAUGAUCAGCCACACUGGAACUGAGACACGGUCCAGACUCCUACGGGAGGCAGCAGUGGGGAAUAUUGCGCAAUGGGCGAAAGCCUGACGCAGCCACGCCGCGUGAGCGAUGAAGGUCUUCGGAUCGUAAAGCUCUGUGGGGGAGAAGAAGAAAGACCGGU